UGUCCUACGGGACACAGCAGUAGGGAAUUUUCGUCAAUGGGCGCAAGCCUGAACGAGCAAUGCCGCGUGAACGAGGAAGGUCUUCGGAUCGUAAAGUUCUGUUGAAGGGGAAAAAGAGCGGAGAGAGGAAAUGGUCUCCGAUUGAUAUUACCCUUCGAGGAAGUCACGGCUAACUACGUGCCAGCAGCCGCGGUAAUACGUAGGUGGCGAGCGUUAUCCGGAAUGAUUGGGCGUAAAGGGUGCGUAGGCGGCCUGCUAAGUCUGGAGUGAAAGGUACCGGCUCAACCGGAGAAUUGCAUCAGAAA
This 305-nucleotide ribosomal RNA is filed under the name uncultured bacterium. Its description in RNAcentral is "bacterial SSU rRNA". It matches the Rfam family "Bacterial small subunit ribosomal RNA", at positions 335 to 632 of the family's 1533-position model. The record is from RNAcentral.